CAGCCACACUGGAACUGAGACACGGUCCAGACUCCUACGGGAGGCAGCAGUGGGGAAUUUUGGACAAUGGGCGCAAGCCUGAUCCAGCAAUGCCGCGUGAGUGAAGAAGGCCUUCGGGUUGUAAAGCUCUUUUGUCAGGGAAGAAACGGCUCCGGCUAAUAUCCGGGGCUAAUGACGGUACCUGAAGAAUAAGCACCGGCUAACUACGUGCCAGCAGCCGCGGUAAUACGUAGGGUGCAAGCGUUAAUCGGAAUUACUGGGCGUAAAGCGUGCGCAGGCGGUUUUGUAAGUCUGUCGUGAAAGCCCCGGGCUCAACCUGGGAAUUGCGAUGGAGACUGCAAGGCUUGAAUCUGGCAGAGGGGGGUAGAAUUCCACGUGUAGCAGUGAAAUGCGUAGAGAUGUGGAGGAACACCGAUGGCGAAGGCAGCCCCCUGGGUCAAGAUUGACGCUCAUGCACGAAAGCGUGGGGAGCAAACAGGAUUAGAUACCCUGGUAGUCCACGCCCUAAACGAUGUCUACUAGUUGUCGGGUUUUAAUUAACUUGGUAACGCAGCUAACGCGUGAAGUAGACCGCCUGGGGAGUACGGUCGCAAGAUUAAAACUCAAAGGAAUUGACGGGGACCCGCACAAGCGGUGGAUGAUGUGGAUUAAUUCGAUGCAACGCGAAAAACCUUACCUACCCUUGACAUGGAAGGAAUCCU
This 701-nucleotide ribosomal RNA is filed under the name Massilia varians. RNAcentral describes it as "bacterial SSU rRNA". It matches the Rfam family "Bacterial small subunit ribosomal RNA", at positions 305 to 999 of the family's 1533-position model. The record is from RNAcentral. Lineage: Bacteria; Pseudomonadati; Pseudomonadota; Betaproteobacteria; Burkholderiales; Oxalobacteraceae.